CCCAAUACGUUAGUGAGGACAUUAGGAGCA
Molecule: non-coding RNA, 30 nt
Filed under: Mus musculus (house mouse)
Lineage: Eukaryota; Metazoa; Chordata; Mammalia; Rodentia; Muridae
Source: RNAcentral